Long non-coding RNA from Fukomys damarensis (Damara mole-rat), 488 nucleotides. RefSeq lists it as uncharacterized. NCBI's taxonomy places the organism in Eukaryota, Metazoa, Chordata, Mammalia, Rodentia, Bathyergidae. The record is from RefSeq and is a predicted model, not a curated record. The transcript is spliced from 4 exons.
UUCCGGGUUGAGACACAUGACGACUCCUGAGACAGGAAGGUAGGGAGCAUGGGCAAAACUUUCCGGGAAAGGAAGAGGACAAAGUCCAGGAACACCUGAGCCCAACAGUUCUCAGAACCCUGCAUUUAGACUUCCGCAAGAGAACUUGAGCAGAUAGAGUGACCUGGAAGUAACGUCGGCAUGGGAAAUGUAAGAAAAACAGUGACAGCCACCACUUGCUAUCAUUCCUCUUCACAAUGGCCCAUUCUACAAUGCAAGGUCAAGGCACCAUGCUCCCUGCUUUAUGGAAACAGCACUUCUGCAAGUGAAAUGUGAGCACAAAAAUUGAAACUCAGCACCUACAGUGAAUAUAUAAUUAUGAAGAGGCAGAGGCAAGCAUCAAAAAUAACUUUGAGAAAUAAGGAGAAAAGAAUUGUUUAGCAACUCCAGGAAGAAGUAGGACUUGAACACUAUCCUCACCUAACCACCCUUGGUUUCCUUCUCAACUU